GGGUUGUGAGGUUAAGCGACUAAGCGUACACGGUGGAUGCCCUGGCAGUCAGAGGCGAUGAAGGACGUGCUAAUCUGCGAUAAGCGUCGGUGAGGUGAUAUGAACCGUUAUAACCGGCGAUUUCCGAAUGGGGAAACCCAGUGUGUUUCGACACACUAUCAUUAACUGAAUCCAUAGGUUAAUGAGGCGAACCGGGGGAACUGAAACAUCUAAGUACCCCGAGGAAAAGAAAUCAACCGAGAUUCCCCCAGUAGCGGCGAGCGAACGGGGAGGAGCCCAGAGCCUGAAUCAGUGUGUGUGUUAGUGGAAGCGUCUGGAAAGGCGCGCGAUACAGGGUGACAGCCCCGUACACAAAAAUGCACAUAUUGUGAGCUCGAUGAGUAGGGCGGGACACGUGGUAUCCUGUCUGAAUAUGGGGGGACCAUCCUCCAAGGCUAAAUACUCCUGACUGACCGAUAGUGAACCAGUACCGUGAGGGAAAGGCGAAAAGAACCCCGGCGAGGGGAGUGAAAAAGAACCUGAAACCGUGUACGUACAAGCAGUGGGAGCCUCUUAAUGGGGUGACUGCGUACCUUUUGUAUAAUGGGUCAGCGACUUAUAUUCUGUAGCAAGGUUAACCGAAUAGGGGAGCCGAAGGGAAACCGAGUCUUAACUGGGCGUUAAGUUGCAGGGUAUAGACCCGAAACCCGGUGAUCUAGCCAUGGGCAGGUUGAAGGUUGCAACACUAACUGGAGGACCGAACCGACUAAUGUUGAAAAAUUAGCGGAUGACUUGUGGCUGGGGGUGAAAGGCCAAUCAAACCGGGAGAUAGCUGGUUCUCCCCGAAAGCUAUUUAGGUAGCGCCUCGUGAAUUCAUCUCCGGGGGUAGAGCACUGUUUCGGCAAGGGGGUCAUCCCGACUUACCAACCCGAUGCAAACUGCGAAUACCGGAGAAUGUUAUCACGGAGACACACGGCGGUGCUAACGUCCGUCGUGAGACAACCAGCCAAAGGUCCCAAAGUCAUGGUUAAGUGGGAAACGAUGUGGGAAGGCCCAGACAGCCGAUGUUGGCUCAGCGUAAUAGCUCACUGGUCGAGUCGGCCUGCGCGGAAGAUGUAACGGGCUAAACCAUGCACCGAAGCUGCGGCAGCGACACUAUGUGUUGUUGGGUAGGGAAGCCUGUGAAGGUCUGUAAGCCUGAAGACCAAGGGUUCCUGUCCAACGUUAAUCGGGGCAGGGUGAGUCGACCCCUAAGGCGAGGCCGAAAGGCGUAGUCGAUGGGAAACAGGUUAAUAUUCCUGUACUUGGUGUUACUGCGAAGGGGGGACGGAGAAGGCUAUGUUGGCCGGGCGACGGUUGUCCCGGUUUAAGCGUGUAGGCUGGUUUUCGGCAAAUCCGGAAAAUCAAGGCUGAGGCGUGAUGACGAGGCACUACGGUGCUGAAGCGACAAAUGCCCUGCUUCCAGGAAAAGCCUCUAAGCAUCAGGUAACAUCAAAUCGUACCCCAAACCGACACAGGUGGUCAGGUAGAGAAUACCAAGGCGCUUGAGAGAACUCGGGUGAAGGAACUAGGCAAAAUGGUGCCGUAACUUCGGGAGAAGGCACGCUGAUAUGUAGGUGAAGCGACUUGCUCGUGGAGCUGAAAUCAGUCGAAGAUACCAGCUGGCUGCAACUGUUUAUUAAAAACACAGCACUGUGCAAACACGAAAGUGGACGUAUACGGUGUGACGCCUGCCCGGUGCCGGAAGGUUAAUUGAUGGGGUUAGCGGUAACGCGAAGCUCUUGAUCGAAGCCCCGGUAAACGGCGGCCGUAACUAUAACGGUCCUAAGGUAGCGAAAUUCCUUGUCGGGUAAGUUCCGACCUGCACGAAUGGCGUAAUGAUGGCCAGGCUGUCUCCACCCGAGACUCAGUGAAAUUGAACUCGCUGUGAAGAUGCAGUGUACCCGCGGCAAGACGGAAAGACCCCGUGAACCUUUACUAUAGCUUGACACUGAACAUUGAGCCUUGAUGUGUAGGAUAGGUGGGAGGCUUUGAAGUGUGGACGCCAGUCUGCAUGGAGCCGACCUUGAAAUACCACUUUAAUGUUUGAUGUUCUAACGUGGGCCCCUUACCGGGGUUGCGGACAGUGUCUGGUGGGUAGUUUGACUGGGGCGGUCUCCUCCUAAAGAGUAACGGAGGAGCACGAAGGUUGGCUAAUCCUGGUCGGACAUCAGGAGGUUAGUGCAAUGGCAUAAGCCAGCUUGACUGCGAGCGUGACGGCGCGAGCAGGUGCGAGCAGGUCAUAGUGAUCCGGUGGUUCUGAAUGGAAGGGCCAUCGCUCAACGGAUAAAAGGUACUCCGGGAUAACAGGCUGAUACCGCCCAAGAGUUCAUAUCGACGGCGGUGUUUGGCACCUCGAUGUCGGCUCAUCACAUCCUCGGGCUGAAGUAGGUCCCAAGGUAUGGCUGUUCGCCAUUUAAAGUGGUACGCGAGCUGGGUUUAGAACGUCGUGAGACAGUUCGGUCCCUGCCGUGGGCGCUGGAGAACUGAGGGGGGCUGCUCCUAGUACGAGAGGACCGGAGUGGACGCAUCACUGGUGUUCGGGUUGUCAUGCCAAUGGCACUGCCCGGUAGCUAAAUGCGGAAGAGAUAAGUGCUGAAAGCAUCUAAGCACGAAACUUGCCCCGAGAUGAGUUCUCCCUGACUCCUUGAGAGUCCUGAAGGAACGUUGAAGACGACGACGUUGAUAGGCCGGGUGUGUAAGCGCAGCGAUGCGUUGAGCUAACCGGUACUAAUGAACCGUGAGGCUUAACCUUACAACGCCGAAG
This 2785-nucleotide ribosomal RNA is filed under the name Escherichia coli. RNAcentral describes it as "23S ribosomal RNA". It matches the Rfam family "Bacterial large subunit ribosomal RNA". The record is from RNAcentral. Lineage: Bacteria; Pseudomonadati; Pseudomonadota; Gammaproteobacteria; Enterobacterales; Enterobacteriaceae.